GCAUAUCAAUAAGCGGAGGAAAGAACCAACAGGGAUUGCCUCAGUAACGGCGAGUGAAGCGGCAACAGCUCAAAUUUGAAAUCUGGCCCUAGCGGUCCGAAUUGUAAUUUGUAGAGGAUGCUUUUGGUGGGGUGCCUUCCGAGUUCCCUGGAACGGGACGCCAGAGAGGGUGAGAGCCCCGUACGGUUGGACACCUACCCUAUAUAUAGCUCCUUCGACGAGUCGAGUAGUUUGGGAAUGCUGCUCUAAAUGGGAGGUAAAUUUCUUCUAAAGCUAAAUACCGGCCAGAGACCGAUAGCGCACAAGUAGAGUGAUCGAAAGAUGAAAAGCACUUUGAAAAGAGGGUUAAAUAGCACGUGAAAUUGUUGAAAGGGAGGCGUUUACGACCAGACCUCUUCCAGGCGGAUCAUCCGGUGUUCUCACCGGUGCACUUCGUCUGGUUUAGGCCAGCAUCGGUUUUCGUAGGGGGAUAAAGACCUGGGGAACGUAUCUCCUUCGGGAGUGUUAUAGCCCCUCGUGUAAUACCUCUACGGGGACCGAGGACCGCGCACUGCAAGGAUGCUGGCGUAAUGGUCGUCAACGACCCGUCUUGAAACACGGACCAAGGAGUCGAACAUUUGUGCGAGUGUUUGGGUAUUAAACCCUCACGCGUAAUGAAAGUGAACGGAGGUGAGAGCCCUUCGGGGUGCAUCAUCGACCGAUCCUGAUGUCUUCGGAUGGAUUUGAGUAAGAGCAUAACUGUUCGGACCCGAAAGAUGGUGAACUAUGCGUGGAUAGGGUGAAGCCAGAGGAAACUCUGGUGGAGGCUCGCAGCGGUUCUGACGUGCAAAUCGAUCGUCAAAUCUGCGCAUGGGGGCGAAAGUAUGUAUUAUCCCGGGGUGUAUACCCUAUAAUUCUCCCCUGGAGACAAUAAACAGUAUGCUAACAACAACUUCUUUAGGACUAUCGA
RNAcentral lists this ribosomal RNA (949 nucleotides) under Pyrenomyxa morganii. RNAcentral describes it as "LSU rRNA". It matches the Rfam family "Eukaryotic large subunit ribosomal RNA", at positions 38 to 938 of the family's 3401-position model. The record is from RNAcentral. Lineage: Eukaryota; Fungi; Ascomycota; Sordariomycetes; Xylariales; Xylariaceae.